AGAGUUUGAUCAUGGCUCAGAACGAACGCUGGCGGCGUGCUUAACACAUGCAAGUCGAACGGGAUCCAGGCUUCGGUCUGGUGAGAGUGGCGCACGGGUGAGUAACGCGUGGGAACCUGCCCAGGGGUACGGAAUAACGUCGGGAAACUGGCGCUAAUACCGUAUGAGCCCGCAUCGGAGACGAUGUGGGGAAAGAUUUAUCGCCUUUGGAGGGGCCCGCGUCCGAUUAGCUUGUUGGUGGGGUAAUGGCCUACCAAGGCUUCGAUCGGUAGCUGGUCUGAGAGGAUGAUCAGCCACACUGGGACUGAGACACGGCCCAGACUCCUACGGGAGGCAGCAGUGGGGAAUAUUGGACAAUGGGGGCAACCCUGAUCCAGCAACGCCGCGUGGGUGAAGAAGGCCUUCGGGUUGUAAAGCCCUUUCGACGGGGACGAUGAUGACGGUACCCGUAGAAGAAGCCCCGGCUAACUUCGUGCCAGCAGCCGCGGUAAUACGAAGGGGGCUAGCGUUGUUCGGAAUUACUGGGCGUAAAGGGCGCGUAGGCGGACCAUUAAGUUAGGGGUGAAAUCCCGGGGCUCAACCUCGGAAUUGCCUUUGAUACUGUUGGUCUUGAGGACGGGAGAGGGUCGUGGAAUUCCCAGUGUAGAGGUGAAAUUCGUAGAUAUUGGGAAGAACACCGGUGGCGAAGGCGGCGACCUGGACCGUAUCUGACGCUGAGGCGCGAAAGCGUGGGGAGCAAACAGGAUUAGAUACCCUAGUAGUCC
This 764-nucleotide ribosomal RNA is filed under the name uncultured bacterium. RNAcentral describes it as "bacterial SSU rRNA". It matches the Rfam family "Bacterial small subunit ribosomal RNA", at positions 8 to 796 of the family's 1533-position model. The record is from RNAcentral.